Molecule: non-coding RNA, 288 nt
Organism: Pelobates cultripes (western spadefoot toad)
Lineage: Eukaryota; Metazoa; Chordata; Amphibia; Anura; Pelobatidae
Source: the annotation of a GenBank genome assembly
AGUGGUGAAUAGUGACAGAGUUAGGGAGGGAAGGGGUGACUAGUGACAGAGUGAGGAAGGGGGUGACUAGUGAUAGAGGGAGGGGUAACUAGGAACAGAGUGAGGGAGGUGGUGACUAGUGACUAGUGACAGUCACCACCUCCCUCACUCUGUCACUAGUCACCCCGUCCUUCCCUCACUCUACCACUAGUCACCCCUUCCCUCACUCUGUCACCAGUCCUCCCCUCACUCUGUCACUAGUCACCCCUUCCUUCCCUCACUCUGCCACUAGUCACCCCUUCCCUCACU